Molecule: long non-coding RNA, 1371 nt
Filed under: Nicotiana tabacum (common tobacco)
Lineage: Eukaryota; Viridiplantae; Streptophyta; Magnoliopsida; Solanales; Solanaceae
Description: long non-coding RNA (NTAB_LNC014162)
Source: RNAcentral
GACGUCUGAAAUUCUCAAAAGGCCUUUGUGACUUCAAAUCUGAUGGCUUCUUUUGUUGGGCCAAACUUUGAGCCCAACAGCUUUUAAUAAUAAAAUGUCUUGGUAGUGUACACUUCAUUUAGUCAUAUUCAAAUUGACAAGCUAAAACUCAAGAAUAUAAAUACAAUCAAUUUGGAACUCAAAAUGUGCGAAUUGAGUUAGUAAAGAAAAUCAUGAAUUUUAACUACAAGACUAUGGGCUAGGUAUAUGAUACAAUUUCAGGCCUUCGAAUAUUUUACUGGAACUCUUUACUGGGUUGAUGACUAACUUUAGGCAAGCUCAAUACAAUAAAUUGCCUCAAGAAGCCCCUAAUACAAAUAGCCAAGCUAGUGAUAAUUAAACAAUAUGCCAAACAUACAGACAAGGAAAUCACUGCAUUUAGAAUUCCAAAAAAAAGACUAUUAGAAGCUGACAUUUACAAUCUGUGCCCUUUCAAUCAAGACUCUUAGUAAUCAAGGCUUUAUAAUGUGUACAAAACUAUUGAAUAAUGACAAAACUAAACUAAUACAUGGUAUAACUGGAUUCUUCAACUCCCAAACCCCUUUCAGCAACUUUAAAUUCCUCCUUUUGGCUUCAUGGCUUACCAAUCUAACCAAUAGUGGUCAGAUCUGCAAACUUCAGCCAAAUUAUCAAUAGCAGAUAGCUUUUCCAUUCUUCAAAUUUUAAAGCAAAUCCACAUGUUUUCAUAUACAGAACAAUUAUAGUAAAUCUCCUGCUAUUGCAACUUUAAAACCAAAAGACAAAGCUACUAACAAGCAAGCACAACCAUGUUUCUGAAAGAAAGAAAGGAGAAUACAGCAUAAAAUUCAAUUGGCAUGUUUCAAUCCACUAAUGAAUACUAAUAAAUAAUUCCAUUGUCCUAAAACUCAAGCCAUUACAUAACUUAACAACACAAAUGAAUAGAAUACAAGAACUAAUACAAAUUUAAAACUUUAACAGGGCUUGAAGUCCCAAGAACAUUGCAAGAAUAAACAAACCAGCUUCAUUUAUGCUCAAAAAAUUUAAGAAAUCAACAUUUUUAUUCAAAGCAACUCAAUCAAAACAUACAAAAAAGUUCAGAAGAAUACCUAGCCAAGGGAAAAUAGCCUAAAGAACAAAACAAACUGCAAUUUCUAGCUCAGCUCAAACAAACCAGUAGUGAAUCAAACCAGGAUCCUGUUCCAAUCUCUGAAACCCCGCAAAGAAAGGACCCCAAAACAGAAGGAAACUCAAAAAUUUCUUAAGAAACAUUUUGGAGAAUAUUUUUUAGCCGAUUUCCUCUUUUUCUACUCUUUUUCCUGUGCCCAAAUCAUUGACAAGAGGGUCCUUUUAUAGAAGGAAUUUUAGGGCAGC